AUGAGGCAGAGCAGGUGCCAGGAAAAUCUUCGUUUGCUACACGGCUCGCUCAUGCGACCAAGGAAUUUGUCUCCUCUUUCAUUGCCUGUGAAGGUGAUCAUUGCUCAGGCAGCAUCGCCGCCGCCGUUCGAAGAUUCGAGAGGUUUGCUGAUGGUGCUACAGAGUUUUCGAUGUGUGCAACUCGGUGGAACACCUCAACAGCCCCUGUUCUUCGACCCUCUCAUCAGGCAUAUCUUCACAGGCAAAACGCUGCGGUAUAUGGUGAUGCAUCCAGGAGGCCAGUAUCAAUACUUCAGCAUACCUCCUAUGGCCUUUGAGGAGCAUGGACUGGAGGCCAUGCUAUCCUUCAUAUAUGAAGACUUAGAAACACCCAAGAACAGUUUUCGCCUUGGGUUCAUGCUGCGUUUUUCAGAGAGUACAGACAUUAUCGGAACUACAGUCAAGUGCUUGCGACUGGUGACAUCUCACUUCAAGUCCACGGCCGACGCUGUGAUCAAAGGUAUCAUCCAACUCCCUACCCAUGUUUUUUCCUGUUUACCACCAGAGGCUGAGAGCGCGAACAUGGAAUACUGGAACCAGAUCCACAAAACUUUUACUGGAUGGUUUCAUCCAGAUCCAUUAUGUUGUCAAGGAUACAAACAGGAGGUCGUGCCUUCGCAUGUCGGUAACUGCGGGAACAAACGUAAAAUCGCUCUACUCGAUCAUAAGAACCUACAGCUACAUGGAUCAACUGCGGGGUAUGAUCUUUCUUCUCUGGAGAAUACCCCACUUCUGAAGCUGGGAAUUCUGUUCAUGCCUCAUGAUUCUCUGGAGAACCCCAAGUCCAGCGGCGAGGGCUCUGCGAUAGAGGUGAUUGAUGAAGAGAAGCAACAUCUCACACAUGCAAAUGUUCAUCCGGACCAACUUGAUGAGAUAUUGCUGUCCAAGGCUAGAUUAUCUUCAUCAUAA
This 948-nucleotide ribosomal RNA is filed under the name Triticum aestivum (bread wheat). RNAcentral describes it as "partial small subunit ribosomal RNA". The record is from RNAcentral. Lineage: Eukaryota; Viridiplantae; Streptophyta; Magnoliopsida; Poales; Poaceae.